RNAcentral lists this ribosomal RNA (253 nucleotides) under uncultured bacterium. RNAcentral's name for it is "partial 16S ribosomal RNA". It matches the Rfam family "Bacterial small subunit ribosomal RNA", at positions 524 to 776 of the family's 1533-position model. The record is from RNAcentral.
UACGAGGGGGGCAAGCGUUGUUCGGAAUUAUUGGGCGUAAAGGGCGCGUAGGCGGCGCGGUAUGUCUCUUGUGAAAUCUCCAGGCUCAACUUGGAGUCUGCAAGGGAAACUGCCGUGCUUGAGUACUGGAGAGGUGAGUGGAAUUCCCGGUGUAGUGGUGGAAUGCGUAGAUAUCGGGAGGAACACCAGUGGCGAAGGCGGUUGCCUGGAGCUUUGCUGACGCUGAUGCGCGAAAGCGUGGGGAGCGAUCCGG